This 249-nucleotide ribosomal RNA is filed under the name Staphylinidae sp. BOLD:ACG2063. Its description in RNAcentral is "partial 18S small subunit ribosomal RNA". It matches the Rfam family "Eukaryotic small subunit ribosomal RNA", at positions 1273 to 1482 of the family's 1831-position model. The record is from RNAcentral. Lineage: Eukaryota; Metazoa; Arthropoda; Insecta; Coleoptera; Staphylinidae.
GCCAGUUGGUGCAUGGCCGUUCUUAGUUGGUGGAGCGAUUUGUCUGGUUAAUUCCGAUAACGAACGAGACUCUAGCCUGCUAACUAGGCGCAUAAUCGACAUCUUAAAGGUCCGUCAAUCCAGCUUUCGGGUUGUGGUUGAACGAGAUUUUGACUGUCGGCGUAUAAUCAAUUCUUCUUAGAGGGACAAGCGGUUCUUAGCCGCACGAGAAUGAGCAAUAACAGGUCUGUGAUGCCCUUAGAUGGUCAU